UUUGUGUUGCCCCCAUACAUGUAUUCGGGGCGAAGCUUGGCCUCCCGUGAGCCCAAACUCGCGGAUGGCUUAAAAACGAGCCUCGAGACGGUUAGACGUCGCGACAAGUGGUGGUUACGAGGCCCUUGUGCCUUUGAGCUUUGCGUGUCGCUGCCGUCGUCUGUCUCUCUCGAAAUUAAAACCCGAACGGAGCAUCCUCGAUGUUUCCAGCAUUGCGACCCCAGGUCAGGCGGGAAUACCCGCUGAGUUUAAGCAUAUCAAUAA
Molecule: unclassified non-coding RNA, 264 nt
Filed under: Rhodiola chrysanthemifolia
Lineage: Eukaryota; Viridiplantae; Streptophyta; Magnoliopsida; Saxifragales; Crassulaceae
Description: partial internal trancribed spacer 2
Source: RNAcentral